CCUACGGGUGGCUGCAGUGAGGAAUAUUGGUCAAUGGGCGCGAGCCUGAACCAGCCAAGUAGCGUGAAGGAUGACUGCCCUACGGGUUGUAAACUUCUUUUAUAAAGGAAUAAAGUGAGGCACGGGUGCCUUUUUGUAUGUACUUUAUGAAUAAGGAUCGGCUAACUCCGUGCCAGCAGCCGCGGUAAUACGGAGGAUCCGAGCGUUAUCCGGAUUUAUGGGGUUUAAAGGGAGCGUAGAUGGGUUGUUAAGUCAGUUGUGAAAGUUUGCGGCUCAACCGUAAAAUUGCCAUUGAUACUGGCAGUCUUUCGUACAGUUGCGGUAGGCCGAAUUCGUUGUGUCGCGG
Molecule: ribosomal RNA, 346 nt
Filed under: uncultured bacterium
Lineage: Bacteria
Description: partial 16S ribosomal RNA
Rfam family: Bacterial small subunit ribosomal RNA
Source: RNAcentral